GUACUCUCUUUGGCAGCAUGUAUACUAAAGCUGGAACGAUACAGAGAUGAUUUGCAUGGCCCCUGAGCAAGGAUGACAUGCAAAUUCAUGAAGUGUUCCAUAUUUUU
Molecule: small nuclear RNA, 107 nt
Organism: Cricetulus griseus (Chinese hamster)
Lineage: Eukaryota; Metazoa; Chordata; Mammalia; Rodentia; Cricetidae
Source: Ensembl